This 459-nucleotide ribosomal RNA is filed under the name uncultured bacterium. Its description in RNAcentral is "partial 16S ribosomal RNA". It matches the Rfam family "Bacterial small subunit ribosomal RNA", at positions 338 to 795 of the family's 1533-position model. The record is from RNAcentral.
CCUACGGGUGGCAGCAGUGAGGAAUAUUGGUCAAUGGGCGCGAGCCUGAACCAGCCAAGUCGCGUGAGGGAAGACGGUCCUAUGGAUUGUAAACCUCUUUUGUCGGGGAGCAAAAGACGCCACGCGUGGCGUUCCGCGCGUACCCUACGAAAAAGCAUCGGCUAACUCCGUGCCAGCAGCCGCGGUAAUACGGAGGAUCCGAGCGUUAUCCGGAUUUAUUGGGUUUAAGGGGUGCGCAGGGGGAUGAUAAAGUCAGCGGUAAAAUUGAGGGGCUCAACCUCAUCGAGCCGUUGAAACUGGUGUCCUUGAGUGAGCGAGAGGUAGGCGGAAUGCGUGGUGUAGCGGUGAAAUGCUUAGAUAUCACGCAGAACUCCGAUUGCGAAGGCAGCAUACUGGAGUGUAACUGACGCUCAUGCACGAAAGUGUGGGUAUCGAACAGGAUUAGAUACCCCAGUAGUC